This 5862-nucleotide long non-coding RNA is filed under the name Sus scrofa (pig). Its description in RNAcentral is "lncRNA (ENSSSCG00050039768.1)". Lineage: Eukaryota; Metazoa; Chordata; Mammalia; Artiodactyla; Suidae. The record is from RNAcentral.
UUUUUUUUUUUUUUUAAGUAGAAGAGUCCUAUAGUUAGUUUUAUCUCAUCUCCUUUAAGUUGAUGUUGAGGUUGACUGGAGACAAUACUAGUCAAAACCCAUAGUAGAAAAAAAGAGGCAUUUGGUAUAGCAAUUCUCCUCUGGUGGCAAUCUUGCACCUUCUUGUUGCACUUAACCUCAUGAUAAAGUGGAAAAUGUCCAACAAGAAAACUUGACUUGACUCCUAAAAUAAAAUAGCUUGUAUUAAUUCAUUAAUUCUACACUGGAUGUAGAAGUAAAAGUAAACAAAUUUUAAAAGAUAUGACACAAAAGAAAGAUGUACCAGUAAAUGUUUUCUAACAGUCAGGACUUUACAUUCAACAGAUGAGAAAUCCCCAGAAAAUUUUUCAUGUCAGGUAUAACUAGGGCCUGAUAUUUGGAGAAAUUGGUCCAGCCCCAUAAGGAGAGAGCUGGUUUUGUUGCAAUUUUAAAGGUCUAUUUUAACGACCUCCCUGCAUUGAAAUAACUCCCACACUGAUAUUUGAAAUGCCUAUUAGAUACCGUAAACCCUAAAGAUUUUGGUCCUCACCUUUUCCUAUUAAAUUGAAAUUGGUUUAUAGGAUGUAACACCAUAGGAAGCAUCAGCUAACACCUGAUCAGGGAUUGCUUUCCAAUCUGGCAGAGAGCUAAUUAAAUGAGAUAGUUCCUAUGGGAAAGUACAUAGAGGAUAGGUUGCCCAUAAGGAGAAGAGGAAUACUGACUGAGAACCAGGAUGCUAAAGAAAAUUUGGUCCAAUUGAACUUUAUCCUAGGGAUACAUAUAUUGGAAAUCAACACCAUUUUAUUUUCCACUCACUAAAGCAGUGCCGUUUUUAAACAAGAGAUAUGUACCAGAAUCCUCUGGCAGUGGGGUCUUAAGCCCACAAGUGGAUGGAAUGUGUCAGAAUUUCUGGUGGACAGACCAGGUCUGCAUAAUUCAAAUCUCUCCAGAUGAUUCUAUUACAUACGCCAUUGACAUAAAAAGCUAGCAAGGUAACUACUUUAGGUUCAGUUUUAUUCAAUAGACUUUCAUUGGAAACUUACUACAUAGAAGGACCAAUGUUGAAAUAAUAUGAACAUAACAGACAAAUGAGACAUGAAUCUUAGUUUCAAGGAGAGUAUAAUCUACCAGGAAUAAUAAAUCAUGAACAUUAGAAAAGCCAGGCAUAAUUGGCUAAAUAUUAUAAAAAUUCUGCAAAUAAAAUGCAGAGGAAUAUGUUACUUUUGAAGGGAACAUUCAGGAAAGAGCACAUGUUCAGGCCCCUUCCUCAUUUCCUCUACCUGCCCCUGGUCUCUCACAGGACUCUAGUGGCUGUCUAAACCACAGUCUUACUGUCCUUUGUGUCCCUAAACUAUGAUAGCUUUAAGACCACAAGUAACCUCAGAAAAAUCUGGAGGUGGGACCCUUAUAGUUUGCCCCAGGAUAAGGUACCCAAGCAUUUGACCCCAGGGUCAUGGGUUUCUACUGUAGCACCAGCCAGCGUAUUAAUCACACCAAUGUAUUGAUUUAGCCAGUUUGCAGAAGGCUCACAAUCAUAUAGAGCAGUGUGCUUGACUCUGAAAAGCAGGAAUGUAUAAAAACCCAUCCUUAUCCUUGAAGAAUACAUGGACUACAACAGGUUUGGCAUCAUUCAUAAAGACCUUGAAGUAUUCCCUACAUAAAUAUCUCCUCAGUGAAGAAUGACAGGUAGAUCAGUAGAGCAGACAAGGACCACAGACAUCAGUAGAAUAUCUAAAGCCAACAUUUUUGUUUUGCAGUACAGUCAAGAUUUUAGCAGGGUGUCAUUUGAAAGAAAUUAAUUUAUUUCUGAACAGAGACUAGCAGACAGUGGAAGAAAAGUAUCGCUCUUAAUAUGUUCCACUCCUAAGUUUUCCCCAAAUCUCUACAGCAUUCUACAAUUGCAUCUGUUCAGCCACCUAGCAAAUACAGAGUAUUUGCAAACAUUCUGCAAGCAGCUAUGAAUGUUUAAUUUUGAGAUAAUGCCUUCUUGAUGGGCUCACCCCAAGAGUAUUUUGAAUAGCCUAAAUGUGAAUUACUGGUUGCAAAAAGACAUUUGGUUGCUUUAAAUCAUGUCUGUCUGUGACUGAAAAUAUGACAAUAUCGAAACACAAGGUCAUGUCUAUGUGAUCAAAGCCCAUAAGUGUAUCUUUGGCAGAAGGACUAUCAAGAGAGAAGUGUUUAAUAAUUAACCAGAAGCUGUCAUAAUUAAUGAAAUACAAUUUUGGAAAUUAUUCUACAUUUUACCAACAACAAAAGAUGGCAAAGAUACAUUUGUUAAAAAGUUGAAAUGUCUUGAUUUAACUUUCUAACAUCCAGUUUCUAUAUCUCAGUUUCAUUGUCAGUAAGAAGAAAUAAAAUUAAUAAUCAUCCUUUGAGGUAUUAAUGAUAUUUCCUUAUAUUUUUUUAUUAAUAUGCUACUUAAAAUUAUUUUUAUAUAGAUUAUCUCUAUUUAGACUCACAAAAAUAUUCUGAAGUAAGCAGGAAAGAUUUUUUGUAUUCAUUUAUUUAUUUUUUAUAGUCAGUUUCUCAACUGUGAAGGUGAUUAACCAACCAAGCACAGGUGGUUAGCGGCAAGAGUCUUAAUUCAAACAUACAUGUUAUCAUUCUGAGUUCACUACUUGCACCAUUAGGAUUGUUUUUCUUUUAAUUAGAAGAAAUAUUGACUCAAACUAUAAUAAAACUAAAAAUAAAAUGAUUGGGUCAUAGAACUGAUGAGAGUAUGGUUAAGGCUGGCUCUACUUGCAGCUAAGGCUCAGACCCAGUCACAGAGGUGCCUAUUUUAAUAUCCUUUCCUCUGUUUCAUCAUCAAGCUUUUCUCUUCAAGAUAAUCAACUGACCUCAGCAAUCACAGACUCCGCAAUUCACACUAUUCAUUCCAAAGACUGGAAAAUUUCCCUUUUCAGAAAGUGCCAACAAAUGCUUCCUUUGAUCCACUCUGUUGUGUGCUACUAAAUGUGCUACUCUGAACCAAUUAUUGCAAAGUAUAAGAUGGAUAGUCCAUUUGGUUUAAGCCAAUACACCUGAUGUUGGAGAAAAUUCUACUCGGAGUUGAGAAUUAGAAGCACGAUUUGUCACAGGAUGUUUAGGAAACUGUUUCCAGCAGGAGAGAGAAUUCAUAUUAGGAAACAUAAUGCUUCUAAGGACUCUUCAUUAUCUAAACCCCACACACAAACAAUGCUCACUGGAAUGCCUCCUAUGCAUUUUUAUUUAGACCUGUCUUUUAUAAGGAUAAAACCCCAGGAAAGCAUCAAUGAUAUCUCGUCUAGUUAUGCAGUUCGUUCCUUCAGAGACAUUGUGAACUAUGUAAAUGCUGGGGUCCUUGACCAUGACUCAGUAGGCAACUUAUUCAUCCAAAGUCAAUGAGACUUUCCUCCAAGCAGGAUUUAGCACAAAUUUAUUUCAUUAUAAAAGAAAAAUGAGGAAAUACUUGAAAUGCUCCUGAUCAACAAGGUCUUGAAAGUAGGAAGAAGACUAUACUGCUACCUGAAAUAAGAUACUCCUAAUUCCACCUGAUUAUGCUAGGGUCUUUUUUUCACCUUCUUUCUUUUCUUCCUACAUCCCUCUCCCUAGUUUUAUUCCUUUCCUGUCUUCCUUCUAUCCAACAAACAGAUAUGUGUUUCCUAAGUGUAAGGCCUUGUAAUAGUAUAGCUGAGAAACAAAGAGAAAGUCAGACCCUUGCCUUUAAGGGUAGACAGACAAGUACACAGAUCAUUAUAAUUUAGUUGGAAAAAUGCCUUGAUAAGAAAGAAGUUGUGUUACAUGGUCAGACUUUCUGCUAUGUUCCAUUGGCCUGUCCAAGGAAGCUUUCCCCUGCUUGUUCUCCAAAACUUAUCUGAACAGUUCUCUCUUUCUGUGUCCCCAAAGAGCCCUUUUCAUGCUUUGGUUUAUCUUAGUGUGUUUUAUUGUCUUUGCCAACCAUAGCCCUAUCAGCAUUAAAAUGAGAGACCAAGAAUUCUCUAAGGACAAGUUCCCAAAUUUAAUUUGACAUCAGUAAAGAAUUUACAUUUUUCUAAAAUUUAUCAUAGUAAUUAGAGAUUGUUCUGACCCAAUCACAUUUUCUCAGGAAGACAAAGACUCUUAGGGAAGGAGUGAGAAUGAAGUAAGCACUAUAGUGUUCAUGUCAAGAAAUUUAUGCGUAUUGAUCCAUGUGAUUUGUGAACAAAUCUCUAGUCCUCCCUGUACACACUUUAUAUACUUUUCCCUCUUAUGUAUACACAGCACCAGUAAUUCAUUUCCAAUAUUUGAGCUACCUGACUGGAAAAUCAAACAUCAAAACAUAAAACCUAAAAUCACGCAUGAGCAAAUUGCUAAGAGGGUAGAUUUCAAGUGUUAUCACCACAAAACAAAAGGUAACUGAUGAAAUGAUGAAUGUGUUAAUUACAUGAUUAUGGUAAUCAUGUCAUAAUGCAUGCAUAUAUUAAAAGACCACGUUAUGCAACUUAAACAAAUUCAAUUUUUAUUUGUGAAUUUUGCCUCAAUAAAACUGAGGGGGAAAAAUGAUGGAGCUUGACUAUUUCCAGUGGCUUUUCUUUUUUCACACACAAUGUGAAGAAGUUAGACAAGAUAAUCUCUAAAGUCCUAUUGAACUCUAAUCAUUUUAUAACAGGUUUAGAAUGAUUUAAUGGCAAUGAUUUAGGAAGCAGUGUAAUAUUGAUUGUGGUUCUAAAUUGUACUGAUGUGUUUGCAUUUGAGUGUACUGCAAAUCAAAUUCAUUGUAAAAUCAUUAAAGAAGGCAUAAAUAAGUUUGCCCACUUUACUCAAAUAUUUGAUACUUGUUUCCUUUCUGAGGGAAUACUUUUUAUUCCUGAAAAAGUAUUUCCUAAUCAUGCUCUGGUACACAAAAGUUAUAAUGGAAUGAUUGCUAUAUCUUAACUACAGCUAACAGACUGCUUAGAGAAAUGCGUUUCUCCAUGUAAACACAACACUUAUUCACUUUUACUAUAUUAGUGGUUACCCUCAAUAAUAUAUCUGCCAGUUGAAAAUUGUUUUCCUUUGUAUGAGGUGCAAGGGCAUAUAAAUUGCUCAAAUUCAUUCUUUCUCAGUUGUAUAGCCCCCAAGAUUUCUUGAUGAAUUUGAGAUUUAUCCAUAUGGUCAUCUUAAAAUUCCAGAUGUCAGACAUUCUCGCUGAUAUUUACUUAUUGCAAAAUACCUUGUUCCCUUGACUCUCUAUGAGAACAUUUUUGCAUACCCUCUGUCUUCAUAAAACAUUCUAUCACCCCAAACUUUUGCCUGUUUAAAUCCUUUUCAACAUAUAGAGCCGUCUUAAGUGCUUCCUCAAAAAAGUAUUCCUUUCUCCAGGAUUCUCCUAGGGAAUCACUUUUAUAGAUAUCUCUUAAAAAAUUUCCUUAGCACUUUGCUUUUCUCUCAACAUUUUGUUUUGUUUAUUUGUGUGUACCUUACUAGUCUUAAUUCCAUGAAAUCAAACAUGAUUUCUAUAUCAUGGACUUUAGCACAGUGCUUGAUAUACUCCUUAGAUAUUUAUCACAUAUAUAAAGAAAGAAAUGAAUGUCAUUGAUUAAAUGCUAGUUAACUCAGCAAAUCCAAACAUUAUUGAUUUAUUCUUGAUUACUACAUUAUGACUGAAUUCCCCUAUAUAAAAUGUAUAUAAUUAGCUAACAUUUCCCUUAAUUUAUACUUUAGAGUCAAGCUUUAGCUUGAGAAUAGGCACAUAUUUUCUCUCCAUAGUCUAUAUAACACCUCUUUUUCUUACAAGAAAACAUGGUUUGCACUUUUCCAUUUGUGCUUUGAAUCCAUUUUUCAAACCUGCUUUAUUGUAGAAGAGAAUAAUAUUUAUUUCAUUUUGCCCUCAAAAUCUUUCAAAUCAUGACUCCAAAAUUGAUGAUG